GGGGGCGAUUUGGAUUCGACGACGGAUACAAACCCUGAGGUGCAUGCCGUGAUGACAGCCAAUCACGUUAAUCCAAAGCUGUAACCUUAUAGUUGCCAACGACGACAACUACGGUGCUCAGCUGGCUGCGUAAGCAGUCAAAAGACACCAUCUAGUAGCUUCGGCUCUAGCGGUCAUUAGCAAGGUGCCAGUACCGCGCUUACUGACUGUCAUACAGAACUGGACCGCAGUGAAGUAUGUUCUGGGCUUUACUGUCAAAUUAAACAGAACUCGCCAAUCACGUCCUGCCCGUUGGGCUGUGUGCGGCUAAAGCAAUAAACGGAAUCUAAGCAUGUAGAGCCGAAGGCAGAGGUCUGGCGGACGCGGGUUCGAAACCCGCCGCCUCCACCA
This 390-nucleotide transfer-messenger RNA is filed under the name Seongchinamella sediminis. Its description in RNAcentral is "Halioglobus sediminis Standard tmRNA". It matches the Rfam family "transfer-messenger RNA". Rfam says of the family: Bacterial tmRNA, also known as 10Sa RNA or SsrA, is named for its dual tRNA and mRNA-like properties. Lineage: Bacteria; Pseudomonadati; Pseudomonadota; Gammaproteobacteria; Cellvibrionales; Halieaceae. The record is from RNAcentral.